Molecule: long non-coding RNA, 321 nt
Organism: Rosa chinensis
Lineage: Eukaryota; Viridiplantae; Streptophyta; Magnoliopsida; Rosales; Rosaceae
Exons: 3
Source: RefSeq, a predicted model, not a curated record
CUCUCUCUCGCUCUCUCGCUCAAAGCUGGUUCUUAGCAAUCCGACCUCAGUUGCUAUCACAACUACAGAAUCAAGCAAGGUCUCUCUAUCACUGCCCUAAAUUGGUGAUUUAUGUUCGUCUCAGUCAGGUGAAGAAGAAAAGUUACAACUUUGAUGCACUAUUGUCAUCGCUAAUUAUUCCUGGGAUUGGUCUUGGAUAGGUAUUCUUAAUAUUGAAGAGGUGCCUAUAGUUUUUUUUUUUUGGCUAAUGAUAUGAUAACAUUGUUUGUUGUUUUUUAAUUUGAUAUGCUGCUCUGCUUUGGUGGUCAAAAAAUAUACAUA